AGUGAACGCUGGCGGCAUGGAUUAGGCAUGCAAGUCGAACGGUGAAGGGAGCUUGCUCCCGGAUCAGUGGCGAAAGGGUGAGUAACACGUGAGUAAUCUGCCUCAAAGUUGGGGAUAGCCCCGGGAAGCUGGGAUUAAUACCGAAUGUGGCGGGUGUUCCGCAUGGAACGCUUGGCUGAAGGCUUCGGCCGCUUUGAGAUGAGCUCGCGUCCCAUCAGCUAGUUGGUGGGGUAACGGCCUACCAAGGCUAUGACGGGUAGGUGGUCUGAGAGGAUGGUCACCCACACUGGGACUGAGACACUGCCCAGACUCCUACGGGAGGCUGCAGUCGAGAAUCUUCCGCAAUGCGCGAAAGCGUGACGGAGCAAUGCCGCGUGAGGGAUGAAGGCUUUCGGGUCGUAAACCUCUGUCACCCGGGAUGACUACAGACAGUACCGGGAGAGGAAGCCACGGCUAACUACGUGCCAGCCGCCGCGGUAA
RNAcentral lists this ribosomal RNA (480 nucleotides) under uncultured bacterium. RNAcentral describes it as "partial 16S ribosomal RNA". It matches the Rfam family "Bacterial small subunit ribosomal RNA", at positions 29 to 523 of the family's 1533-position model. The record is from RNAcentral.